AAACUAUAAUUAAAUAAACUCUACUUGAAAAAUUAUGCCAAAUGAAACCGAAAUCAAUGUGGAAUGCAAAUUACUAAUUUCGAUCCUCAUGUAGAUUGUUGAUAUGGUCUACAUCGGCAUUUCACUAAUAACAGCAUCUUUGGAUCAGCACAUAUGUGGUGAAGAUCAUAAAAUUUUUAAUGUUUGAUAUGAUAAUAGAUUUUCUUUGAAACUUGGAGUGCUUUGAGAUAUGGAAAAUUUUUUGAGUAUGAAAUUGCAAUCCACAUUAUCAUCUCUAAUUUCAUUUCGAGUAGUCAUGGUACCGCAUAAGUCUGUCUUGUUGUUGGAAGUACAAAUGCACAAUAAAAACAUUUAUUUUAAAUUCAUCAUAAUAAGGCGAAUUGUACGGAUUUUGAGUGACAAAAUGUGAUCAAAGUUGCAAUCGAAAGAUUUUCAAGGGACUUGUAUACAUUUUGAGUGGUUUUUUUCUUUGAAAAAAAAUUCCAUAAUAUUCAACUAGGCUUAACAAUGAAAGCUGAAACAUCGCUCAUGAUGAAGAAUUAAGCUAAAGAGAGGACAGCCCAAAUUUACACCAAAGGAACAAUUUUAUGACAAGAACUUUUGCUUAAAUGGAGAGAGGGUCGAUGCAGAUGAAAGGCAGCAAGCACGUGGUGGCACGAGAAUUUACAUGACAUAUUCAUCGUCAUCGCGCAAAAAUUGACUUGAAAAUUGGCUGAGCUGUUGAGUAGACUAGAUGCGGUGAAUGAACACUCACUCAAGUCAAAGCAAUAGCAAGGCCAUGGCCCAAGAGUGAAGAGUUAACAUGCAUUCAACCUAUUUUUAAAUUAAAGCUCAGCUAGAGUUGUCAUUCAUGCAUGAAACAAGAGUUUGUGUUUUUUUUUCCCCUCAAAUAUUGAUAUACACGAUUAUUACUAAUAUUACAUUAGAGAUUAUAAUUGGUAUUUACAAAUCAUAUUAUAUAAUUAAAUCUCGUGUACAUUCAGUGGCGGAUCUAGAAAAAUAAUUUACCGGGGGCUAAAUUAAAUAACAACAAAAUGUAAAAAUUGAAAUUUGAAUAUAUAAAAUUUUUUAUAACACAUUUACAAUUGUUCUCUAUGCGAUUUCAUAUUUUGAAAACGUUGUGCAAUAGACUUAUUUUCAACAUUAUUAAAUACAUCUUUUUCUACAUAAACAAUCAAAUUAUUAUUCAUCCAUUCAUCUCUCGUCCGAUUCCGAAGUUCAUUCUUCACAAAUUUCAUUGCUGAAAAUGUUCUCUCUAUUGUGGUUAUAGAAACUGAAAGAACGAGACUUUU
This 1292-nucleotide long non-coding RNA is filed under the name Citrus x clementina. RNAcentral describes it as "Citrus clementina (C. clementina) long non-coding RNA (CCLE_LNC005686)". Lineage: Eukaryota; Viridiplantae; Streptophyta; Magnoliopsida; Sapindales; Rutaceae. The record is from RNAcentral.